Molecule: long non-coding RNA, 351 nt
Filed under: Lathyrus oleraceus (garden pea)
Lineage: Eukaryota; Viridiplantae; Streptophyta; Magnoliopsida; Fabales; Fabaceae
Description: Pisum sativum (pea) long non-coding RNA (PSAT_LNC018949)
Source: RNAcentral
GAGGAUGAUGAUGAGGCGACCGGUUCUGAGGCCGGUAGUGAGGAGGAGUCUUGAGCCCUUUGUGGGUUAAGUUUUUGUUUUUUGAAUUUCAGUUUUUAUUAUAUGGCAUUUUUAAUUGUACUUUUGAAUUUUGUAUUUUGACCAUGGGUUGUACUAUUGGGGUGUUUUGUCCCCCACGAACAAAAUUUUAUUUUUCAGUUAAUGUUAUUUUUGUUUGUUGGUAAUUUUGUGUGUUUAAUAAAUUUUUGGUUGAAUGAGUGGCAAACCCUUCUAGAUUGGUUGCUCCUCAAGAAGUACCCAAUGAAGGUGCAUCCGAGCUUGGAUGGCAAUGAUAAGAAUAACAAGUGAAUG